RNAcentral lists this ribosomal RNA (266 nucleotides) under Oxyrrhis marina. Its description in RNAcentral is "partial Eukaryotic small subunit ribosomal RNA". It matches the Rfam family "Eukaryotic small subunit ribosomal RNA", at positions 547 to 827 of the family's 1831-position model. The record is from RNAcentral. Lineage: Eukaryota; Dinophyceae; Oxyrrhinales; Oxyrrhinaceae.
AUUGGAGGGCAAGUCUGGUGCCAGCAGCCGCGGUAAUUCCAGCUCCAAUAGCGAAUACUAAUUCUGCUGCAGUUAAAAAGCUCGUAGUUGAAUUUCUGCGUAUGCCUAGUUCUGGCUUUGGUCAAGCUAGUGUGUGCGCAUCCGCUUGCAAAUCCGGACCGGCGUUUACUCGUCGACCGGGGGAGUAGGCCCUUUACCUUGAAAAAAUUAGAGUGUUUCAGGCAGGCAAUGGCUCGAAUACAUUAGCAUGGAAUAAUAGAAUAGGA